UGUUCUGUGGCUUAGUUGGUUAAAGCGCCGAUUUAGCGAAUACGGAGUCGUGGGUUCGAAUCCCACCAGAACGC
Non-coding RNA from Aedes albopictus (Asian tiger mosquito), 74 nucleotides. The record is from Rfam. Lineage: Eukaryota; Metazoa; Arthropoda; Insecta; Diptera; Culicidae.